ACUAUGUUUCACUAACAUACUGUUCGAGGCAACAUAUACCUAAUUUAAUUUUCAUCCAUUGUGUUCAGGGCAAUCGGGACAGAUCACACAAUACACUUCACCCAAAGUUACAUACAGGCCUCAUCCAAAACCUUAAAACUCCAUUCAAUAAACAUGACAGACCAAAUACAUACGUUUGUGGAUACAUGCAUGAAAAGAACAUAUAUAAGGACGCUGUGGCCCUAAAGGAAAAGUACACGUGAUUCUGAUGUGGCACACAACAAAAAAUGAGCAUACAAUGGCUUAUGUGCCAAAACAACCACCAAAAUGAGCAGAGUAAAAAUUGUCAAUGUCUCAAGUUCAAUAAACAACAUUACAUAAUCACUCCAACUUAAUUGUAGGUCUUCCAAAUCUUCAGCAGCCUGUAGAUAUUCCACACCUCCAUCAACUUGUGUAUCUUUGUGAAACCUGCAAUGGAUAGGAAACUCCACACGGAGCUCUCAUUUUCGAUUUUAAAUUGACACAUUAAAGAUUUUCACGUGCUACAGUUUAACUCGUCAGCAUAGAUAAAACUCUUCCAAAUGUGCAGCACUUCAUUGUCACAGCAAGCAACAUUACAAGUUAGAUCAAGAAGGAAUUAUUAGCACUACACAUACAAAAAUCUUCCAGGGGCAGAUAUGGCAAAACAUGAACUCAUACAAUUAAUUUGCACUGAACAUACAAGAGCUAACUUCUAAGUACACAAAGUAAUGCCAGGGAGAUGCUCAGACCAUUUUAGUCCAUGGACAAAAACUAAUGUACAAGGCUAGUGCCUCGCCAUUGCUAUGCAAGUAGCUAGGGUUAGGCGUCUAGUGCUCAUAAGAUAUGAUUACGUAGAAGGCGCAGCGUGUUGUGCAAAAGCAAAAAAUCCCCACUACUAACCUGAAUCACAUAAUGCAGCUAAAAUGGACAUAUUUUGUGAUCUUUUAAGUGGGAGUCUAACUUUUUAGUUUCCUGGUUCCAUGCUUUUGUUUUUGCAGUCAAAGUACAUUGAAGCACUUAAGGAGAAAGCAGAACAAUAUAAAAAAAAGAACAGGGCAUAGUGAAUGAGACAAACCUUCAUAAAGAGAGGAGCAUGGAAGUCCCACCUGUUUGCUGGCAAAUACAUGUUUGUAACAUCUAACUAUAGAAAGAAACUUGAAGAGGACAAAACAAUGGCUAGAGGUAGAAAGACAACAGCUUCAAGAAGUCAUGACGCAAUGCUAUUUCCAGUAGGGGCGGCAGUACAAAACACACUCGCCACCAGAAUGACCAUUCUGCUUUGCAUAAUCAGGAGACGAGAUGUUAACGAAGCACAUUAUAUUUGCUGAAUAAUUUUUAAUGCCUUGGCAAGCUGAAGGCUGCGAGCAUUUGUGCCCUUUUGUCUAUACUAUUGUAACAUGUAACUAGUGAUUUGUAACAAGAUUCUCGUAAUGACUCAAAUCAAUAGUAAUUUACCAGUCAGUGUUGGUAUAACUUAGUAGCGGAAUUCUAGGAUACAUGUAGCUUCGUAGUACAGAAAAUUAGGAUAAUGUUCCGUAAUGCUUGCCACAAGGCCAAGUUUAUGCAUGAGUAAUUUCAGGACAAACUGGACAGAGAGAUUAGGAAAUUAGAAACAAAAAAUCUAAUUAUCAUCUAAAUCUAAUCAGAAUCAAAAAAUUAAUCACGACUUCAGAAAAUACUAAUCAAACAUCUAUGUAUUUAAGCAUAAGAACUUCAGGUUACCUUUUUUGCAAAACAGAGGAUACAUGUGCUCAGAUUUCAAGCAAGUUUUUCUGUAAAUUUUAUGCUGGACAGAUUGCUUUGCACUUAAUUAAGGACAAUUGAGAUACGGGUCCAUGAACUAACCCCAAAUAGCAAUAUGAUAAAGCCAAAAGCCUUAAGUUUUCACAGCAACCAUUCCUACAACUACUGAGUCAUCAUGCUGUCACGUCAUUGCAGUACAUAUACUUGUCAUCAAAAAAGGGCAGCCCCAGUGCAUGUAGCUCCCGCUUGCGCAGGGCCUGGGGAAGGGUCCAACCACUUUGGGUCUAUUGUACGCAGCCUUUCCCUACAUUUCUGUAAGAGGCUGUUUCCAGGACUUGAACCCGUGACCUCAUGGUCACAAGGCAGCAGCUUUACCACUGCGCUAAGGCUCCCCUUCACAUAUACUUGUCAUCAGUAUAUAAAAAAUAGAAGAGUGCAC
Molecule: long non-coding RNA, 2182 nt
Filed under: Triticum aestivum (bread wheat)
Lineage: Eukaryota; Viridiplantae; Streptophyta; Magnoliopsida; Poales; Poaceae
Description: long non-coding RNA (TAES_LNC014248)
Source: RNAcentral